RNAcentral lists this ribosomal RNA (397 nucleotides) under uncultured bacterium. RNAcentral describes it as "bacterial SSU rRNA". It matches the Rfam family "Bacterial small subunit ribosomal RNA", at positions 358 to 772 of the family's 1533-position model. The record is from RNAcentral.
GGAAUAUUGGACAAUGGGGGCAACCCUGAUCCAGCAAUGCCGCGUGGGUGAUGAAGGCCUUCGGGUUGUAAAGCCCUUUCGACGGGGAAGAUGAUGAUGGUACCCGUAGAAGAAGCCCCGGCUAACUCCGUGCCAGCAGCCGCGGUAAUACGGAGGGGGCUAGCGUUGUCCGGAAUUACUGGGCGUAAAGGGCGCGUAGGCGGCUUUUCAAGUCAGGCGUGAAAGCCCCGGGCUCAACCUGGGAAUUGCGCUUGAGACUGUUGGGCUUGAGAUCGGGAGAGGUGAGUGGAAUUCCCAGUGUAGAGGUGAAAUUCGUAGAUAUUGGGAAGAACACCAGUGGCGAAGGCGGCUCACUGGCCCGCAUCUGACGCUGAGGCGCGAAAGCGUGGGGAGCAAA